RNAcentral lists this long non-coding RNA (203 nucleotides) under Mytilus galloprovincialis (Mediterranean mussel). The record is from RNAcentral. Lineage: Eukaryota; Metazoa; Mollusca; Bivalvia; Mytilida; Mytilidae.
GUGUGAUUCUUAUUGCUCUAAAGAAAUGCUUGAAAACAAACAGAACGUAUAAAAGUAAUCGUCAUUGGAAUGCGAUAGCAAUACACAUUCUGAGGUCACGCAGGUUCAUACAAUACUCAGUCCGGCAGUGGGCGGAGCUUUGAAGCGAUAUCUGUAUAGUAUACAGAUACAGCAUAGCGAUAUCUAUAGGGCUGUAUCUGUAU